This is a long non-coding RNA of Macaca mulatta (Rhesus monkey), 1572 nucleotides long. The record is from Ensembl. Lineage: Eukaryota; Metazoa; Chordata; Mammalia; Primates; Cercopithecidae.
CAUUCUCCUGCCUCAGCGUCCCAAGUAGCUGGGACUACAGGCGCCCGCCACCUCGCCGGGCUAGUUUUUUGUAUUUUUUAGUAGAGACGGGGUUUCACUGUGUUAGCCAGGAUGGUCUCGAUUUCCUGAUCUCCUGAUCCGCCCGUCUUGGCCUCCCAAAGUGCUGGGAUUACAGGCUUGAGCCACCGCACCCGGCCUUUUUUUUGUUUGUUUUUUUUUUUUUGAGACAGUCUUUCUAUGGACCUUUUAAAGAGUGAUAGUUACUGAAAAUUCACGUGCUAUCUUUAUGUUUCCUGCAAUUCAGAGAUGAUAAUUUUAACAGAGAGCACUAUUGAGAAAUUAGUCAGUACCUUGGCUUUUUGUUCCUAUAGAUUCAAUCAAUACGAAGAAUAAUAAAGUAAUAUUCCCCUUCAUGGUUAGCAGGGUCUGGAAUCCCUUGUCCUAGAAUUAACAGCUUUUUCUGAUUCACGUCCAGAGGAAGCGAGUUAAGUUGGCUCAUCUGAAGAGUGGCAGGAGAUAGUGAGUUUUGUGUUUGGAAGGUGGAGAUAAAUGAAGCUGAUGAAAGUCCAGCAGAGAAAUCCAUAUUGUUCCUACCACAUGCCAGGAAGUGUCAGGAACAUUAAUAUGGCAGCUUAUGAAGCCAGGAGGAGAAUUUCUCCCAAAUCCAAGUGUGUGAUUGAAAUUGGACAUUCUACUUUUCUUGUAUUGAAGUGUCAUACAUCCAUUCACAUCCAUUUCAUGAGAAUAAACAAAGGUCUGGUUUGCAAGAUAUCUGACUCUUAAAAAGCCUUUCCACUUAUUCUAUGAAUGCCUAGACAGAUUAUUUUCCAUAUUUCAGUCUUAUAAAAAGCGAGAAUAUUUCCUCAUUUGGUCAAUAUCUUCUGAGCCCAAUCUUUAUGCCAGACUCUGCAUUAGGCACUAGGAGCACAAAAGGAAAUUGGACACCCUUUUUUGUUCCUGGUAGGUCCCAACUGAGUGGAGGAUACUGGCAUGUAAAGGACUCAUUAGGCCGAAACUUCACUCUGUGGGAGACCAAAGGAGAGCAACAAACUCUCCCUCAGGAAGUCAGGAAAGGCUCAUAUAGUGAAUGCUGCCACCACCCUCUACCCUCCCUAGGAGGACUGAAGCACUCCUCCUCCAGCUGCCUCAUCAAGUAAGAAGAUGGCUGCAGGCAGAAGAAACAUAAGGUUCAAAGCACCAAAGUACAAAAGGAUCUGAUAUUGUCACAGACUGAGAGAUUUGAUGUGGAGAGUAUGGAGCUCUGGUGGCGGCCAGAGUGCAAGGCUGGAGUAGUAAGUUAGAACAGGCUGAAGGGCCUUGCAUUCAACCCCUAAUGUGGUCAUGUUCCUGAGGACCUUGGUGCAGUCCCUUCUUGAAGAUAAAGAGUCUUGGCCACCAUCCAGGCAAAAAUAAUUCCUGCAGUGAAGAAAAAGACAGACUUUAAAAGUGAUCACCAAGAGAACAUGGUCCCCUAAGAUAGAGAACUUCAACUGACAAAUCCCUAAAAUUUUAGAAUUUUAGAAAAAUAGGUAUCCACUUGUACAUUUUUCAGUUGAUGUUUAAGAUUUAUCU